Paramuricea clavata is the source of this 1259-nucleotide non-coding RNA. Lineage: Eukaryota; Metazoa; Cnidaria; Anthozoa; Malacalcyonacea; Plexauridae. The record is from the annotation of a GenBank genome assembly.
GCUUAAAAUAAAAAAUGCUUACCAAACAACAGAAAUAUCACACGUACAAGACGAACAACACGAGAAAACCGCGCGAAAAUUUUUAGUUUUUCUGUGUUAGUAGACUUUCCAGAAAGGGUUCGGAGACAUUUUGGCGUCAGUUAUUUGAGAAAAGCUUAGAUACUGUUAGAAAUUCAUUUCCGAGCAUCCAGAAACUUAUUGUUUUAAAGUUAAAAUCAGAUUAAACAUGUAAAAAAUCUUCGGGGGAAAAUGAGUGUUUUUCAUAUCGCCCCAGUCCAUAUCUGGCUGGCAGAGCGCAAGUAAUUUGUUAUUUUUUAACAUUUUUGUAAUAAACAAAGUUGGAAAAAAAGUUUAAACUGCAAAAUUAGUUUGUUAUUGACUGGAAUAAUAAAUGCCAGUUACUUGUGUCGUUUAUGAAAACAAAACUUGCAUCAGGAAAAUGAAAGCAAAACAUAUACUGCAUUCCACAGGUAAGAAAUUACAAAACAAUUGAAACUUUAAAAUAUUUAUUAAUAUUCAAUUUAUUUACAUUUCAAUAGUAAACACUACUAUGACAAUGGGUACAUAUUCAUGACAAUGGGUACAAAUUUGAUUUUUUUGCACCCCUGUUGACCUUGGUCAACAGGGGUCACACCCUUGUGCACCCCCCUAUACAUCCACCCCUGACUACACCAUCCUCAACAGGGUCGUGCAGGCAAAAAAAAUGCUGUACCAUCAGUAUUCAAAUUGGAAUUCAAACUGCAAAGCAUACCAAAAGAGGCUAGAAGCCAACUGAAAAUGCCUGAAGGAAGUUCAACCCAUCAAGGCCAUAAACAUCCAAUUAUGUCACAUGAGCAUCUAUUGUCCAGGGUUGGUAGGUUUGCUGAAUAACUAGGCCAAACACCGUCACACUAGGCCUUUGUGUUCUAAUAGUGCACCAGUGAUGAUUUGGCCUAAUUAUUCAUCUAACUUACCAACCCUGCUAUUGUCAACAACAAUAUCAUCACAUAAUACAGGAAGGUAUUAAUAGCAGAAGUGUAACUCAAGCAAAAAUCUGUCCGUGUUUUUCAAUGCACAUGAGCGAUAAGCCUGACAACACAGCUGACACCAAUAUUACGCCAUCAUUUGCCAUCCUGGCAAGUACAACUGGUACUUUGUACUUUACCGGCUGUUUUAGCCAGGAUGGCGUGGAUUGGUGUGAGCAAGUUAAAAUUUCAGUGGACAAAAACAUCAAAGGCACCAACUCAAGAUACACUUCUGCUAUACCUUCCUAUUGUGUG